Gasterosteus aculeatus aculeatus (three-spined stickleback) is the source of this 415-nucleotide long non-coding RNA. Lineage: Eukaryota; Metazoa; Chordata; Actinopteri; Perciformes; Gasterosteidae. The record is from Ensembl.
UGUUCCGGGCUCUGGGGGUGUUUGGUAAAGAGAUCCGGGUUCUGGCGUCUUUUUCCGGGUUCAAUUCGGCCGUUGUGGGCCUCUGGAGGUGUUUGGGACCGUGUUCCGGGCUCUGGGGGUGUCUGGUAAAGAGAUCCGGGUUCUGGUGUCUUUUUCCGGACUUAAUUCGGCCGUUGUGGGCCCCUGGAGGUGUUUGCGGACCUCCGCGGGUAAAAUAAUAGAAUUAAAAAAGAAUUAAAGUUUCCAGUCGGGACGAUAAGGAGGGCAAAAAAGUUUUUUUCGGACAAUGCAGAGGAAAGCCCUAAAAAAUCCUGGGGAUUUUUGGAUCGCUUCGAUAAUUUUUUUUUUAGCUGACAUCACUGGGCCACCAGGUCGCAGAUUUCAGAAACCUGGUUUUCGGAAACAGAGAUCUCCA